UCACUCUUCACACGCGGAACCAUUGGGGCUGUGGAAACCUCCUUGAUUAGUGGUAGAAGCGCUUCCGCAUUCAACACAUGCAUAUGCCCCUGUCCGUGGAGGUUACUGUGAACAAAACAGCGUGUCCAAAGCAACCACAUGUCUGGCUGAAUGAUCUAGCAUGGAAUAACAAGGCAUCGACCACUGGAGUCAGCCUUUUUGUUGGUUUUACAUGACCCAGUUGGGCAAUGCAGGGCUUGUGCUUCAUUGAGGUUCUUAGUCAGCUCUACCGAACUGUCUUCCCUCAGUUGGACCUUGUUCCCUAUCGGGAUCAAUGGAAGCCAUCGGGGUGGUAUGUAUUCCGACGUGAGCGGUGAAAUGCUUAGACCGUUGGAAGACAAACGACAGCGAAGGCAUUCCGCCAGAAUGUUUUCAUUAAUCAAGAACGAGAGUGUGGGGAUCGAAGAUGAUCAGAUACCAUCGUAGUCCAUUACCGUAAACUAUGCCAACUCGGCAUUGGGAGUCUGUUCACUUUGAAGACUCUCCCAGCAUCAUCCCCCAAUAACGAGAAAUCCAAGUCUAUGGGUUCAGGGGGGAGUACAGUCGCAAGGCUGAAACUUAAAGGAAUUGACGGAAUGACACCACAAGGCGUGGAGUAUGCGGCUUAAUUUGACCCAACACGGAGAAGCUUACCAGGUCAGACACAGUAAGGAUUGACAGAUUGAGAGCUCUUUCUUGAUCCUAUGGAUGGUGGUGCAUGGCCGUUUCUGGUUCGUGGAGUGAUCUGUCUGCUUAAUUGCGAUAACGAACGAGAUCUCUACCUCUAAAUAGGCGCCGGUCUCGCAUGUAAGUAGGGAUGUGUUGGGGGCCUUCGUGUCCCCUCAUGUCCUGAGAGUGCCGGGAUCGCUUCUUAGACGGACUGUGCAUGUCUUUAAUGCACGGAAGAGGGAGUCAAUAGCAGGUCUGUGAUGCUCCUAGAUGUUCUGGGCUGCACGCGCACUACACUGGCACAGUAAACGAGUUGCACCUGCUUCGGCAGUCCUGCUUAGAAGUGAGCGUGGGAAAUCUUAGAGAACUGUGCCGUGCUGGGGAUAGAUGAUUGCGAUUAUUUGUCUUGAACGAGGAAUGCCUAGUAGAGGUACUUCAUCAGAGUACCUUGAUUGUGUCCCUGCCAUUUGUACACACCGCCCGUCGUUGCUACCGAUUGGCUGUAAAAUAGAGGCCUUAAGAGUCGCUUCCGCAAAGCUUUGCUUUUGAGGUUGUGACAAAUCUGGCCAAUAUUUCAUUGCUAGAGGAAGCAAAAGUCGUAACAAGG
Molecule: ribosomal RNA, 1294 nt
Filed under: metagenome
Description: bacterial SSU rRNA
Rfam family: Eukaryotic small subunit ribosomal RNA
Source: RNAcentral